RNAcentral lists this ribosomal RNA (466 nucleotides) under uncultured bacterium. RNAcentral's name for it is "partial 16S ribosomal RNA". It matches the Rfam family "Bacterial small subunit ribosomal RNA", at positions 28 to 507 of the family's 1533-position model. The record is from RNAcentral.
GAUGAACGCUGGCGGCGUGCUUAACACAUGCAAGUCGAACGGAAAGGCUCCUGCUUGCAGGGGUACUCGAGUGGCGAACGGGUGAGUAACACGUGGGUGAUCUGCCCUGCACUUCGGGAUAAGCCUGGGAAACUGGGUCUAAUACCGGAUAGGACGAUGGUUUGGAUGCCAUUGUGGAAAGUUUUUCGGUGUGGGAUGAGCUCGCGGCCUAUCAGCUUGUUGGUGGGGUAAUGGCCUACCAAGGCGUCGACGGGUAGCCGGCCUGAGAGGGUGUACGGCCACAUUGGGACUGAGAUACGGCCCAGACUCCUACGGGAGGCAGCAGUGGGGAAUAUUGCACAAUGGGCGCAAGCCUGAUGCAGCGACGCCGCGGGGGGGAGGACGGCCUUCGGGUUGUAAACUCCUUUCGCUAGGGACGAAGCGUUUUGUGACGGUACCUGGAGAAGAAGCACCGGCUAACUACGUG